UCUUCCUGCCGUGUGACUGGCGUUUCCUCCCUAAACUCGGGCCGCACCUUCGGUGUGGCCCUUUUUUUUGUUGUAU
Molecule: small RNA, 76 nt
Filed under: Pseudoroseomonas cervicalis ATCC 49957
Lineage: Bacteria; Pseudomonadati; Pseudomonadota; Alphaproteobacteria; Acetobacterales; Roseomonadaceae
Description: Roseomonas cervicalis ATCC 49957 Makes More Granules Regulator RNA (mmgR)
Rfam family: Makes More Granules Regulator RNA (mmgR)
About the family: SuhB later renamed mmgR (makes more granules regulator) was a putative non-coding RNA found multiple times in the Agrobacterium tumefaciens genome and related alpha-proteobacteria. Other non-coding RNAs uncovered in the same analysis include: speF, ybhL, metA, and serC.
Source: Rfam by way of RNAcentral